UUAAAUUGAAGAGUUUGAUCAUGGCUCAGAUUGAACGCUGGCGGCAGGCCUAACACAUGCAAGUCGAACGGUAACAGGAAGCAGCUUGCUGCUUCGCUGACGAGUGGCGGACGGGUGAGUAAUGUCUGGGAAACUGCCUGAUGGAGGGGGAUAACUACUGGAAACGGUGGCUAAUACCGCAUAACGUCGCAAGACCAAAGAGGGGGACCUUCGGGCCUCUUGCCAUCAGAUGUGCCCAGAUGGGAUUAGCUUGUUGGUGAGGUAACGGCUCACCAAGGCGACGAUCCCUAGCUGGUCUGAGAGGAUGACCAGCCACACUGGAACUGAGACACGGUCCAGACUCCUACGGGAGGCAGCAGUGGGGAAUAUUGCACAAUGGGCGCAAGCCUGAUGCAGCCAUGCCGCGUGUAUGAAGAAGGCCUUCGGGUUGUAAAGUACUUUCAGCGGGGAGGAAGGUGUUGUGGUUAAUAACCGCAGCAAUUGACGUUACCCGCAGAAGAAGCACCGGCUAACUCCGUGCCAGCAGCCGCGGUAAUACGGAGGGUGCAAGCGUUAAUCGGAAUUACUGGGCGUAAAGCGCACGCAGGCGGUCUGUCAAGUCGGAUGUGAAAUCCCCGGGCUCAACCUGGGAACUGCAUUCGAAACUGGCAGGCUUGAGUCUUGUAGAGGGGGGUAGAAUUCCAGGUGUAGCGGUGAAAUGCGUAGAGAUCUGGAGGAAUACCGGUGGCGAAGGCGGCCCCCUGGACAAAGACUGACGCUCAGGUGCGAAAGCGUGGGGAGCAAACAGGAUUAGAUACCCUGGUAGUCCACGCCGUAAACGAUGUCUACUUGGAGGUUGUGCCCUUGAGGCGUGGCUUCCGGAGCUAACGCGUUAAGUAGACCGCCUGGGGAGUACGGCCGCAAGGUCUCAAAUGAAUUGACGGGGGCCCGACAAGCGGUGGAUGUGGUUUUCGCAGCGAAGAACCUUACCUGGUCUUGACAUCCACAUCCAGGGUGCCGGGAACUGUGAGACAGGUGCUGCACUGUCGUCAUCGUGUUGUGAAAUGUUGGGUUAAGGCAACGAGCGUUAUUUUGCGAUUGGUCGGGAUCAAAGGAGACUAGUGUAAACUGGAGGAAGGAUCGUCAAGUCAUGGCCACGACCAGGUACACACGUUAUGGCAUACAAAGGCGACCUCGCGAGAGCAAGCGGACCUCAUAAAGUGCGUCGUAGUCCGGAUUGGAGUCUGCAACUCGACUCCAUGAAGUCGGAAUCGCUAGUAAUCGUGGAUCAGAAUGCCACGGUGAAUACGUUCCCGGGCCUUGUACACACCGCCCGUCACACCAUGGGAGUGGGUUGCAAAAGAAGUAGGUAGCUUAACCUUCGGGAGGGCGCUUACCACUUUGUGAUUCAUGACUGGGGUGAAGUCGUAACAAGGUAACCGUAGGGGAACCUGCGGUUGGAUCACCUCCUUACCUUAAAGAA
RNAcentral lists this ribosomal RNA (1462 nucleotides) under Salmonella enterica subsp. enterica serovar Typhimurium. Its description in RNAcentral is "bacterial SSU rRNA". It matches the Rfam family "Bacterial small subunit ribosomal RNA". Lineage: Bacteria; Pseudomonadati; Pseudomonadota; Gammaproteobacteria; Enterobacterales; Enterobacteriaceae. The record is from RNAcentral.